CACAACACUCUUCACAACAAAAAGCCUUGGAGAACUGUAAUGCACAAAUGUUAGUUAUCAAGUGGGGCCUCGGUUUCCUUCAGUGGUUUGCCCAGGGUCACAUGGCUAGUUGGCAUAGGGCC
This is a non-coding RNA of Callorhinus ursinus (northern fur seal), 122 nucleotides long. The record is from RefSeq and is a predicted model, not a curated record. Lineage: Eukaryota; Metazoa; Chordata; Mammalia; Carnivora; Otariidae.